GAUAUUUUCUUCUCUAUCAUCCACUUUCUCCCCCGCUAGUUUCAUCGGAAUCUUCGUUGCUCAUCUUCCUCAAGUGCAGGGUUGGGAAGAUGGGUUUAAUGAUACAACAACCUUGCAGAAAAUAUAUGCUGAGCAUGAAAACCUUUGGACACAACCAUUCAUUCGUAAUCAUUCUUAAAAUUGGUCACCAUUUAGUGACUGUAAAUCAUGAAUAUUAUCAUCGAGCGUCAGUGUUUUACCUUUUUCUUUCGGAUACCUUUCAGACUUGUCUCAAGUUGAUUCUCCAGAUUUGUGAGAUCUUUGACAUUCAGUCCAGAAAGUUCUUCCCCCAAAAGCUGCCUACACUUGCAAGAAACAUAAAUAUAUGAGAUCUUGGGUUGCACAAGUUAGAUGAAGGAUCGGAGAAACAGCUUGACAAAUAGGAUGAAGAUUUGAAUGCAAUGUCUCCUGGCUUUGCCAGUUGAACCUGCAGAAUGCAGUCAAGACCUAUUGCAUGAGAAACAGCAUCUUGUCAAUAGGAAAUUGGUUCAUAACCAAAACCAUUACUUGAUAAGAGCUAACAUGAUAACAUUGGGGUGUAUUCAUGUUUGCACCUUGCCACUGCUUGAAGUUGGAUUGGAGCAUCGAAAGAAAGAAUCACAAUGAAUGCAUUGAGGAAUCUUAUUGCCAAGCAUCUAGUGACUAAAAGGUUACAAUUCUCUAGCCCCCUUCCACUUUCAGCUUGGGAUUGAGAUCAAAGUUACUUGGGGAUGCUGUGGCGGACUAAGGGAGCCUUGAGUUCGGGUUUGAUAGUUCCUUGAGAUUAGUGUCAAAGUCCGUCUGGGAAGAAAGCAGUAGCCUACCUGAGCAUCUAACAAGACUUUUGAUCUUCCACUAGGAGCAAGUUGUUGGCACCUCAUCUCAUUCCUCUGCAAAUGCAAAUAAGAGAGGACAUUAGCCGAUACUUUGCUGCCUAAAGCAAAGAAAAACUUUAUUUACCUUGAUGGGGUACGCUUCUUCAGAGUGAGGUGCUGUUUCUAGCAUUUUGAAUGUACCCGGUUGGGAAUCUAGGCAAGUGGACACCAUAACCUUGGGGCCAAGAUGCAGUUGCUGGAAAGUGAGCCGAGACUUUUGUUGGUUACACGAUGUCCUGCCAUGUUUGCUUCGAAAGAUCAUUGGGUAGCAAACCAAGCUGGAGUCUCCAAACUCUAAUUACUGAUUCAUAAUAAGCUUAACUCUAACAUGAUUCUUUUCUCGCUCUUUUCCUAACUUGUGGUUCAGAAUCUGCAGGCAUGUUUGAACUUUAUUCAAUUUGAUCCAUCUUACCCAGAACAGAAGCGAGUCUAUGAAGCUAUGCUUCUUUAAUGUGGUCAAUGCAGCAACUAAUCUAGCAGAAGAUAGUUUUCUUUCAUAGAAGGAUUUUCGUGAAGGUUUCUUUCCAAUAUCAUCUAUGCUGUUACUUGGUCUGUGUUUGUAAUGGAGUUUAAUAAUUGGAUGGCUUGGAUUUCAUCCGUCCUGAAGGCCAAUCUAACAGUCUAAGAACCAACUUGGUGCCUCUUAUAGUCUUAUUGGAUCAACCAAGAAGCAGAUGGUGGCUUUGAAUUUUUGAUACUGUUACUCUCAUGGCAGAUGAUUGAUCCUUUAGUGGAUGAAGAAGAUGAUGGUGGUUUAGAUUCAGUGGAAAGAUCAGAUGUUUAAUAGCUCCCAAAUCAUACAAGAAAUGGUAAACUACAUUGGGAAGAAUAUGUGUGACGAACUCAAGGAGAAUCAUAUUUCACCAACUCAACUACCUCUUUUGCAAUAUUUAUAAUUGAAUUUUGAUCAAAUUGAUUCUUGUACUUUUGAAAUUAAUAAAAAUGAUAAUUAUAUAUUAUUAAAAAAGAAUAAUGUGGUGGUCCUCCAA
Ipomoea triloba (trilobed morning glory) is the source of this 1882-nucleotide long non-coding RNA. RefSeq lists it as uncharacterized. The record is from RefSeq and is a predicted model, not a curated record. Lineage: Eukaryota; Viridiplantae; Streptophyta; Magnoliopsida; Solanales; Convolvulaceae. The transcript has 5 exons.